UGUCUUUUUGAAAAUAAUAUAAAGUCUAAUCUGCCCACUGAUUUAAUAAUUGAAGGGCUGCAGUAUAUUGACUGUACAAAGGUAGCAUAAUCAUUAGUCAUUUAAUUGAUGACUUGUAUGAAGGAUUGGAUGAAAUAUAGACUGUCUCUUAGUUAAAUAUAGAAUUUAAUUUUUUAAUUAAAAAGUUAAAAUAAUUUAAAAAGACGAGAAGACCCUAUAGAGUUUUAUAAAUAAAUUAAUUGAGAUUAUUUAUUAAAUAAAAUUAAAAUUAAGUUGUUUAUUAUAUUGGGGUGAUAGAAAAAUGUAAUUAACUUUUUUUAUAUGUGAAAACAUUUAUAAGUGAUUAUAUGAUCCAAUAUUAUUGAUUAUAAGAAAAAAUUACCUUAGGGAUAACAGCGUAAUUUUUUUUUUUAGUUCAUAUAAGAAAAAGAGUUUGCGACCUCGAUGUUGGAUUAAGAUAAAAUUUAAAUGCAGAAG
RNAcentral lists this ribosomal RNA (477 nucleotides) under Sciomesa mesophaea. RNAcentral describes it as "partial 16S large subunit ribosomal RNA". The record is from RNAcentral. Lineage: Eukaryota; Metazoa; Arthropoda; Insecta; Lepidoptera; Noctuidae.